CAAUGGGGGAAACCCUGAUGCAGCGACGCCGCGUGGAGGAAGAAGGUCUUCCGAUUGUAAACUCCUGUUGUUGAGGAAGAUAAUGACGGUACUCAACAAGGAAGUGACGGCUAACUACGUGCCAGCAGCCGCGGUAAUACGUAGGGGGCAAGCGUUAUCCGGAUUUACUGGGUGUAAAGGGAGCGUAGACGGUGUGGCAAGUCUGAUGUGAAAGCCCGGGGCUCAACCCCGGUACUGCAUUGGAAACUGUCGUACUAGAGUGUCGGAGGGGUAAGCGGAAUUCCUAGUGUAGCGGUGAAAUGCGUAGAUAUUAGGAGGAACACCAGUGGCGAAGGCGGCUUACUGGACGAUAACUGACGCUGAGGCUCGAAAGCGUGGGGAGCAAACAGGAUUAGAUACCCUGGUAGUCCAAGGGCGAAUUC
RNAcentral lists this ribosomal RNA (422 nucleotides) under uncultured bacterium. Its description in RNAcentral is "SSU rRNA". It matches the Rfam family "Bacterial small subunit ribosomal RNA", at positions 369 to 808 of the family's 1533-position model. The record is from RNAcentral.